GACGAACGCUGGCGGCGUGCUUAACACAUGCAAGUCGAACGGAAAGGCCCUGCUUUUGUGGGGUGCUCGAGUGGCGAACGGGUGAGUAACACGUGAGUAACCUGCCCUUGACUUUGGUAUAACUUCAGGAAACUGGGGCUAAUACCGGAUAGGAGCUCCUGCUGCAUGGUGGGGGUUGGAAAGUUUCGGCGGUUGGGGAUGGACUCGCGGCUUAUCAGCUUGUUGGUGGGGUAGUGGCUUACCAAGGCUUUGACGGGUAGCCGGCCUGAGAGGGUGACCGGCCACAUUGGGACUGAGAUACGGCCCAGACUCCUACGGGAGGCAGCAGUGGGGGAUAUUGCACAAUGGGCGGAAGCCUGAUGCAGCAACGCCGCGUGCGGGAUGACGGCCUUCGGGUUGUAAACCGCUUUCGCCUGUGACGAAGCGUGAGUGACGGUAAUGGGUAAAGAAGCACCGGCUAACUACGUG
RNAcentral lists this ribosomal RNA (468 nucleotides) under uncultured bacterium. RNAcentral describes it as "partial 16S ribosomal RNA". It matches the Rfam family "Bacterial small subunit ribosomal RNA", at positions 28 to 507 of the family's 1533-position model. The record is from RNAcentral.